Molecule: ribosomal RNA, 253 nt
Filed under: uncultured bacterium
Lineage: Bacteria
Description: partial 16S ribosomal RNA
Rfam family: Bacterial small subunit ribosomal RNA
Source: RNAcentral
UACAGAGGUCCCAAGCGUUGUUCGGAUUCAUUGGGCGUAAAGGGUGCGUAGGUGGCAGGGUAAGUUGGAUGUGAAAUCCCGGGGCUCAACCCCGGAACUGCAUUCAAUACUGCCCUGCUAGAGUACUGGAGAGGAGAUUGGAAUUCAUGGUGUAGCAGUGAAAUGCGUAGAUAUCAUGAGGAAGACCAGUGGCGAAGGCGGAUCUCUGGACGGUUACUGACACUGAGGCACGAAGGCCAGGGGAGCAAACGGG